UGAGCUAUGGUGUAAUGGUAGCACUGCAGAUUUUGGUUCUGCCUGUAUAGGUUCGAAUCCUGUUAGCUCAA
This 71-nucleotide transfer RNA is filed under the name Alistipes sp. RNAcentral describes it as "tRNA-Gln". It matches the Rfam family "tRNA". From Rfam's summary of the family: Transfer RNA (tRNA) molecules are approximately 80 nucleotides in length. Their secondary structure includes four short double-helical elements and three loops (D, anti-codon, and T loops). Lineage: Bacteria; Pseudomonadati; Bacteroidota; Bacteroidia; Bacteroidales; Rikenellaceae. The record is from RNAcentral.